RNAcentral lists this ribosomal RNA (459 nucleotides) under uncultured bacterium. RNAcentral describes it as "partial 16S ribosomal RNA". It matches the Rfam family "Bacterial small subunit ribosomal RNA", at positions 338 to 795 of the family's 1533-position model. The record is from RNAcentral.
CCUACGGGAGGCUGCAGUGAGGAAUAUUGGUCAAUGGGAGAGAUCCUGAACCAGCCAAGCCGCGUGAGGGAAGACGGCCCUAUGGGUUGUAAACCUCUUUUGUCGGAGAACAAAACCCGGGACGUGUCCCGGACUGCGUGUAUCCGAAGAAAAAGCAUCGGCUAACUCCGUGCCAGCAGCCGCGGUAAUACGGGGGAUGCGAGCGUUAUCCGGAUUUAUUGGGUUUAAAGGGUGCGUAGGCGGUCCGUUAAGUCAGCGGGAAAAUUGCGGGGCUCAACCCCGUCGAGCCGUUGAAACUGGCAGACUUGAGUUGGCGAGAAGUACGCGGAAUGCGCGGUGUAGCGGUGAAAUGCAUAGAUAUCGCGCAGAACUCCGAUUGCGAAGGCAGCGUACCGGCGCCAGACUGACGCUGAGGCACGAAAGCGUGGGGAUCGAACAGGAUUAGAUACCCCGGUAGUC